This 1344-nucleotide ribosomal RNA is filed under the name uncultured bacterium. Its description in RNAcentral is "16S ribosomal RNA". It matches the Rfam family "Bacterial small subunit ribosomal RNA", at positions 28 to 1378 of the family's 1533-position model. The record is from RNAcentral.
GACGAACGCUGGCGGCGUGCUUAACACAUGCAAGUCGAACGGAAAGGCCCUGCUUUUGUGGGGUGCUCGAGUGGCGAACGGGUGAGUAACACGUGAGUAACCUGCCCUUGACUUUGGGAUAACUUCAGGAAACUGGGGCUAAUACCGGAUAGGAGCUCCUGCUGCAUGGUGGGGGAUUGGAAAGUUUCGGCGGUUGGGGAUGGACUCGCGGCUUAUCAGCUUGUUGGUGGGGUAGUGGCUUACCAAGGCUUUGACGGGUAGCCGGCCUGAGAGGGUGACCGGCCACAUUGGGACUGAGAUACGGCCCAGACUCCUACGGGAGGCAGCAGUGGGGAAUAUUGCACAAUGGGCGGAAGCCUGAUGCAGCAACGCCGCGUGCGGGAUGACGGCCUUCGGGUUGUAAACCGCUUUCGCCUGUGACGAAGCGUGAGUGACGGUAAUGGGUAAAGAAGCACCGGCUAACUACGUGCCAGCAGCCGCGGUGAUACGUAGGGUGCGAGCGUUGUCCGGAUUUAUUGGGCGUAAAGGGCUCGUAGGUGGUUGAUCGCGUCGGAAGUGUAAUCUUGGGGCUUAACCCUGAGCGUGCUUUCGAUACGGGUUGACUUGAGGAAGGUAGGGGAGAAUGGAAUUCCUGGUGGAGCGGUGGAAUGCGCAGAUAUCAGGAGGAACACCAGUGGCGAAGGCGGUUCUCUGGGCCUUUCCUGACGCUGAGGAGCGAAAGCGUGGGGAGCGAACAGGCUUAGAUACCCUGGUAGUCCACGCUGUAAACGGUGGGUACUAGGUGUGGGGUCCAUUCCACGGGUUCCGUGCCGUAGCUAACGCUUUAAGUACCCCGCCUGGGGAGUACGGCCGCAAGGCUAAAACUCAAAGGAAUUGACGGGGCCCCGCACAAGCGGCGGAGCAUGCGGAUUAAUUCGAUGCAACGCGUAGAACCUUACCUGGGUUUGACAUGGAUCGGGAGUGCUCAGAGAUGGGUGUGCCUCUUUUGGGGUCGGUUCACAGGUGGUGCAUGGCUGUCGUCAGCUCGUGUCGUGAGAUGUUGGGUUAAGUCCCGCAACGAGCGCAACCCUUGUUCACUGUUGCCAGCACGUUAUGGUGGGGACUCAGUGGAGACCGCCGGGGUCAACUCGGAGGAAGGUGGGGAUGACGUCAAGUCAUCAUGCCCCUUAUGUCCAGGGCUUCACGCAUGCUACAAUGGCUGGUACAGAGAGUGGCGAGCCUGUGAGGGUGAGCGAAUCUCGGAAAGCCGGUCUCAGUUCGGAUUGGGGUCUGCAACUCGACCUCAUGAAGUCGGAGUCGCUAGUAAUCGCAGAUCAGCAACGCUGCGGUGAAUACGUUCCCGGG